CAGCAGCCACGGUAAUACGUAGGUGGCAAGCGUUGUCCGGAAUUAUUGAGCGUAAAGGGCUCGCAGGCGGUUUCUUAAGUCUGAUGUGAAAGCCCCCGGCUCAACCGGGGAGGGUCAUUGGAAACUGGGAAACUUGAGUGCAGAAGAGGAGAGUGGAAUUCCACGUGUAGCGGUGAAAUGCGUAGAGAUGUGGAGGAACACCAGUGGCGAAGGCGGCUCUCUGGACUGUAACUGACGCUGAGGCGCGAGAGCGUGGGGAGCAAACAGGAUUAGAUACCCGAGUAGUCCCUGUCUCUUAUAC
RNAcentral lists this ribosomal RNA (301 nucleotides) under uncultured bacterium. Its description in RNAcentral is "partial 16S ribosomal RNA". It matches the Rfam family "Bacterial small subunit ribosomal RNA", at positions 509 to 807 of the family's 1533-position model. The record is from RNAcentral.